AUUGAACGCUGGCGGCAUGCCUUACACAUGCAAGUCGAACGGUAACAGGUCUUCGGACGCUGACGAGUGGCGAACGGGUGAGUAAUACAUCGGAACGUGCCCAGUCGUGGGGGAUAACUACUCGAAAGAGUAGCUAAUACCGCAUACGAUCUGAGGAUGAAAGCGGGGGACCUUCGGGCCUCGCGCGAUUGGAGCGGCCGAUGGCAGAUUAGGUAGUUGGUGGGAUAAAAGCUUACCAAGCCGACGAUCUGUAGCUGGUCUGAGAGGACGACCAGCCACACUGGGACUGAGACACGGCCCAGACUCCUACGGGAGGCAGCAGUGGGGAAUUUUGGACAAUGGGCGAAAGCCUGAUCCAGCAAUGCCGCGUGCGGGAUGAAGGCCUUCGGGUUGUAAACUGCUUUUGUACGGAACGAAAAAGCUCCUUCUAAUACAGGGGGCCCAUGACGGUACCGUAAGAAUAAGCACCGGCUAACUACGUGCCAGCAGCCGCGGUAA
This 498-nucleotide ribosomal RNA is filed under the name uncultured bacterium. Its description in RNAcentral is "partial 16S ribosomal RNA". It matches the Rfam family "Bacterial small subunit ribosomal RNA", at positions 30 to 523 of the family's 1533-position model. The record is from RNAcentral.